GUGGGGAAUUUUCCGCAAUGGGCGAAAGCCUGACGGAGCAAUACCGCGUGAGGGAGGAAGGCCUUUGGGUUGUAAACCUCUUUUCUUAAGGAAGAAGUUCUGACGGUACUUAAGGAAGAAGCAUCGGCUAACUCCGUGCCAGCAGCCGCGGUAAUACGGAGGAUGCAAGCGUUAUCCGGAAUCAUUGGGCGUAAAGAGUCCGUAGGUGGUUAGACAAGUCUGCUGUCAAAGGAUGAGGCUUAACCUCAUAAAGGCAGUGGAAACUGUAAAACUAGAGUGCGGUAGGGGUAGAGGGAAUUCCCAGUGUAGCGGUGAAAUGCGUAGAGAUUGGGAAGAACACCAGUGGCGAAAGCGCUCUACUGGGCCGAAACUGACACUGAGGGACGAAAGCUAGGGGAGCGAAAGGGAUUAGAUACCCCAGUAGUCC
This 427-nucleotide ribosomal RNA is filed under the name uncultured bacterium. RNAcentral describes it as "bacterial SSU rRNA". It matches the Rfam family "Bacterial small subunit ribosomal RNA", at positions 354 to 796 of the family's 1533-position model. The record is from RNAcentral.